CCUUGCGGCCCCACCCAGAGGCCGGUUUCGACGUCCCGGACGGCUCAUGCUUUACCGAACAAAGCCCCCAGUGGGGUGCGUCCCGUGGAACACGUGAGCGCCGUGUUUCGGAACAACCCGGAAACAGCAGUUGACAGAGACAGCUUCUGCUGCCUGGUCACUCUCUGUCGCUAAGGGACGGAGGGAGAAAGUUUGAUGGCAACCUGAUCCCCUCGGCCCCCCCAUCGUGCUCUCCGAGGGCACAGGCGAGGGUUCGAGCUGCCUGCCCACGCUCCCCGCUUCCUGCGCCAUCUAUUCCCGUCUCCCCAUCUGCUAAGCAACCGGUGUCCAAACAGACAACACGCGCAGACGAGGUCAAAGGAGGUAAAGCAGCAGAUGUUCGGUGAAGGUGCGUUUGGUCGGCAGCGUGUGGGAGACGCCGUGACCGUAGUGGCCACCGCGAUUGUGCUGUGACAGGAAAGGCCCUUCACCGCGUUACCCUGGGCAACCGUGCUGGGAGCUGGGACUUCUGGAGGUCAGACAGGAACUUGCAGUCCCGAACAUCACGUGUCCAUCAGCCACUUUCGGGGCCUAAAGAUGAACUGCAAAUUACCUCGAGAGGCAUGCUGGGAUCGAAACAUAACCGACCAAGAGCUGAUUAUGACAGACGUGACCUUAACUGCGGUGGCAGCAGGGUACAGGAGACACCCUGAGCAAACUGCACCUGUGCCAUGCAGCAUUGCUUCACUUCCCAUCACCACGUGUGGGCAUGUACCUCCGUCCGCCUCCCAUGGUGCCCCACAGAAGGCCCGAUUGGGGCUGAACUUGUCCUCUGCUGUAAUCACAGCAGCAGCUGUGUCCCCACCACCCCCUCCACCCCCGCGGUCCCAGCAGACGGAUCGCACGGCUGUAAUUACACCAGACUGGCGACAACGAGACGAGUCGCAGGAGGAAGACGACGAGAUGCUCACGAAGCCCUCAGUAAUGCCCCCCCCCACUACCUGGUGGUGGUGGAUUUGGUGGGAUCUAGAGCAGAGCUGCCGCUCUAAUCCCGUCUCGGCGCCGCCCUGCUGCUCAUCCCUGUGAACUGGCGCCCAUGUGCACCUGCUGCUCCAGAAACCCAGAUUCCCCGCUGGAGACGUGCUGCGAACAGGAGACUGUGGGGCUCUUUGGGUCUCCAGUACACGUAUGCAGGGGCCGUAGGGGUCUGAGCCAGUGCCCUUGGACUCGAAGGACCCAGAUUCGAAUCCCCCUUCCUGCUGCAGUGCUCUUGAUCAAGGCACUUACCCUGGUAAAUGAUGCAUUUAGAAACUACCCAGCUGUAUAAAUGGGCAAAUCAGUAAUAACCCUGAUUUUUACCCUGGAUGUUACGAUAACCCUGUUCAUCUCCCCCACGGGUAGGAAACACUCCUUUGCACCCUUUAUCUGAGCUUCACUAUUAUAAACAUGUACACACUGGUGUCAACCACUCGACAUCAGAGGCGCCGGCGGCCCCCCACGCUCGUACCCACAGCCCACAUCCACACAACUCCUGUGCACCAUGCUGACGCGGUACCAGACGACCCGAAGCUCAUGUGACGCAUGUGGGGUUUGCAGAAUUUCACUCGACACAGCCCUGUCCAGAUAAAAGCCUAAAGUCAACAGGGCAGGAAUUCCUUUCCAGGAGGUGGUGGCGUGACUGAUGUGGCCCGAAGUGCGUCUGCUUUUUGUCCAGUUCUAAUGAGGGCUGGUGGGGGGUCGGGUUCGAAUCCCCCUCGUCGGGUUCUGCACGGGGUUUUCCUUUGGCGGACAGUGUGACGGGAUGGGGCAAAAUGCACCUCGCUCGUUCCCACCCCCCGUGACGACUGAACACGCAAAGGGGGGUCACCUGAGGCACCGCGGUAAAACCCUGCUGUAAGUCGGCCUCCUUCGGCUGGAAAAGGGGAGAGGAUUUUCGCCUUCAUUCACCUUUAUUUAUCCAGUAGACGCUUCUCUCCGGAGGAACUUACCCUGCUUUACCCAUUUAUACGGCGGGGUGAUUUUUGCCGCAUCAAUUCAAGGUGAGUACCUUGAUCAAGGGUGCUAAAGGAGGUGGGAUCCGAACGUA
Long non-coding RNA from Scleropages formosus (Asian bonytongue), 2065 nucleotides. The record is from Ensembl. Lineage: Eukaryota; Metazoa; Chordata; Actinopteri; Osteoglossiformes; Osteoglossidae.